This 465-nucleotide ribosomal RNA is filed under the name uncultured bacterium. Its description in RNAcentral is "partial 16S ribosomal RNA". It matches the Rfam family "Bacterial small subunit ribosomal RNA", at positions 28 to 507 of the family's 1533-position model. The record is from RNAcentral.
GACGAACGCUGGCGGCGUGCUUAACACAUGCAAGUCGAACGGAAAGGCCCUGCUUGCAGGGUACUCGAGUGGCGAACGGGUGAGUAACACGUGGGUGAUCUGCCCUGCACUUCGGGAUAAGCCUGGGAAACUGGGUCUAAUACCGGAUAGGAGCCAUUUUUAGUGUGAUGGUUGGAAAGUUUUUUCGGUGUAGGAUGAGCUCGCGGCCUAUCAGCUUGUUGGUGGGGUAAUGGCCUACCAAGGCGGCGACGGGUAGCCGGCCUGAGAGGGUGGACGGCCACAUUGGGACUUAGAGACGGCCCAGACUCCGACGGGAGGCAGCAGUGGGGAAGAUUGCACAAUGGGCGCAAGCCGGAUGCAGCGACGCCGCGUGGGGGAUGACGGCCUUCGGGUUGUAAACUCCUUUCGCUAGGGACGAAGCUUUUUGUGACGGUACCUAGAUAAGAAGCACCGGCUAACUACGUG